This 21371-nucleotide long non-coding RNA is filed under the name Triticum aestivum (bread wheat). RNAcentral describes it as "long non-coding RNA (TAES_LNC008045)". The record is from RNAcentral. Lineage: Eukaryota; Viridiplantae; Streptophyta; Magnoliopsida; Poales; Poaceae.
CGCACACUCCUAUCCUCUUAUAUCUACUCAACAUUCAGGUAAACAUUCCUUAAUUCUAUGUGUUGUUCAUCUUGCAUUAUGAAAAGUGAUCUACGUACCCAUUGAUAUUUUUCUUCCUACUAAUUUGUAGGUUGGACCACUUGCCAGUAGGAGUAGCUGAUACGUCGCCAACGUAUCUAUAAUUUUUGAUUGUUCUAUGCUAUUAUAUUACCCAUUUUGGAUGUUUAUGGGCUUUACUUUGCACUUCUAUAUCAUUUUUGGGACUAACCUACUAACCGGUGGCCCAGCCCGUAUUGCUGUUUUUUCUGCCUAUUUCAGUGUUUCGAAGAAAAGGAAUAUCAAACGGAGUCCAAACGUAAUGAAACCUUUGGGAGCGAUCUUUUUGGAACAAAUGCAAUCCAGGAGACUUAGAGUGGACGUCAAGAAGCAGCCGAGGCGGCCACGAGGCAAGAGGGCGCGCCCUAGUGGGGUAGGCGUGCCCCCACCCUCGUGGGCCCCUCGUGGCUCCCCGACCUACCUCCUUCGCCUAUAUAUACCUCCAUACCCUAAAAACAUCCAAGAGCACCACGAAAAACUAUUUCCACCGCCGCAACCUUCUGUAUCCGCGAGAUCCCAUCUUGGAGCCUUCGUCGGUGCUCCGUCGGAGGGGGAAUCGACCAUGGAGGGCCUCUACAUCAUCUCCAAGGCCUCUUUGAUGAGUUGUGAGUAGUUUACCACAGACCUUCGGGUCCAUAGUUAUUAGCUAGAUGGCUUCUUCUCUCUCUUUGAAUCUCAAUACAAAGUUCUCCUUGAUUGUCGGGGGUUCGGUGCGACAUAUGCCAAGGGAUGGCUUAUCAUGGUGUGAGCAAGUAGAACGUCGCCGGUGCACGGAAGCGGGAUGAGGCGAAGGCAUGCACGCCGGCGGAUCUUACCCAGCUUUAGGGCUCUCCGAGGAGAUAACACCCCUACUGUUGCUCUGCGGGGUCUCCGCAUGAUCACUAUGGCAAAGUGAAUACAAGGGUGCUCCUAGAGCUGUUUCUGGAGGUAGGAGAGGGCAAGGCUAGCUCCCUCCUUCCUAUAUGAUCGGGUCUAAUGCUAAAGAAGCCCCCUCCCCCUUGCAUGGGUGCCCCGAGGGCUUAUAUAGGCCUGCCCCCCAGGGAUACAAUGGUAAUCUGGCAGGGCGCGGGUCCCAGCUGUUUGUCUCUCAGGCCGCCGUCUUCUCCGCCGAUUGCUGGGCCCUGCCGACUGGCGGGCCCCGCCGAUAGGCUUGGUACUGUAGCAGUGCUUCUGAUGACGCUGGCUUGGUCAUGGGGUCAUGGCAACAGUGCAGCCGUCUGGCGGACGAUCACUGUAGCCAUUCCCCGUCUUAUUUGGUUAAUGGCGUGCGGGGCCCGUGGGAGGGGCCGGCCGACUCCAGGGGGCCGACUCCCACGGGUCCGUCUUUGGAGUGUUCUCGCCGUCUUCUGUGCUCCCACUGACGGGCGGGUCCCGCCGUCUCUGGGUCGUACAGGUAGGCCGUCGUGGGUACAUUGCGCCGCCCACUGAGGCUGAGGUCAGGGCAGGCAUGGCAACAGUGCCGCGCCACGAUGGAGAUCUCCAGCGAUACGACGCACUAUAGCCAUGCCAGCCCCUCAUAAGCAGGGUAGAGACGGCCACGCUGUGACCGUACCCCGCCCCAUCCAUCGUGGCGAAGGCAGGAGAUGGUUGGAGUCGCGGGCCGACUCCCCUCAGCCGGCUUCUCUGGAAGUCGUCAGCUAAGAGUCGGCUUCCCUGGAAGUCGUCAACUAAGAGUCGGCUUAUCUCAAGGUCGUCCUUGGGAUGCGGCCGUGAGGGAUAGUCAGCGGCCUUGCCGCUGACUCUCAGAAGGCGGCUCCUUAUCGCAGAGUCUUGAGGGGCGCAGUCUGCCCCGAUGCUUUGAAAGGUUCUGGGGCUCGGGUUGGCCUACCCGUGGCCCAUUACUCCGACAGUAGUCCCCGAAGCUAGUGAGGCACCGAGGGAGAUGCGUCGGGGAGCCUCAACAGUUUCAUCUUUCUGGGGGUAGAAUCUCGGCCUUGCCCGCCGUCUUCCUCCAAGCCAACUAGCUGGAGUCGGAUUCGCAGAAAGUCGUCUUGCCUCUUAGUGAGUUUGAAUGUCGCAGCGGGUUCCAGGCAGCGUGCCUGAUAAGCUUCCGGGCAGCCGCCCGCUGCGGGUCCAUCGUGUGGCGCCACGCGGCAUGGUCAGUCUGCCAACCCAUGCACGUGAUGGGACAUGACCUCAAGCAGGGCCCGCCACUAUCGGGCCUCGGCAUCCGAACGAAUCCGUAGGGCCGUGCAAACGGUUGGUAUGCCCACGUUGUAACUGCGCAGUUACUUCGUGUGGUAAAUCGUGGGGGGCGUGGGGUCCCGCGCACAGUUAAUCCCGCGCCCGCCCCAUCUGCUUCUCAGCCCACGAGCCUAUAAGUAGGCGGGAGGAGUGUGGCAACGGAGCACGCGCGCCCAUUUCCCCUUGCUUUCUUCUUGCUUAUUCUUCCUCUUGCUGCCGCCGCACCGAACCACGCCACGCUCUCAGCGAUGAGCUCCUCCUCCACUUCCGCGCCUCUUGCUGUGUGCUCCGGCAUGUGGGACGGCUCUGAGGUGGACGACGACCAUAUCGAGUUCCUCCGCCGGACGCGCCGCCUCCCCGGCGCGGACCUAGUGCGAGCCCGCGCCGCGCCAGAGAGGGAAAUAUUGCCGGCGCCGGAGGAGGGCGAGCGGGUCGUAUUCCACUCGCACCUUAUGCGCGGCCUGGGGUUGCCAGCGAGCGUCUUCUUCCGCUCCUUCUUGGAGUUCCACGGGCUCCAGCCGCACCACCUCACCCCGAACACGGUGGUGCUGCUGGCUGCCUUCGCCACCCUGUGCGAAGGCUUCCUCGGUGUUCUCCCCACCAUCGAGCUGUGGGGGGAAUUCUUCCAGUCCCAGCUCGGCACACACGUCGCAGGCGUGCCGGCCCAGUGAGGCACUUUCAUCGUGAUGUGGAGAUCGACGGCCGACAACCCAUUUCCCACCAUCCCGCUGAUCAAGUCGGUGAAGAUGUGGCAGCGGUCGUAUUUCUACGUGAAGAACGUUGCCCCAAACGGCGACUGGGUCAAUCUGCCGCCUUAUGAAGCCGUCGCACCGGCUGGGAGGCUCCCCAGCUGGUCCCACCGAGUCAAGACGCUGACUCCCGCCGGAGCCGCCGCCGUCGCGCGACUCCGAGUUCUGACACAGUCGGAGGGUCUAACCGGGGCCGACCUGUUGGCCGCCUUCGUGGCGCGCUGAGUCCUCCCGCUCCAAGGCCGACCUCAUCUGAUCUGUCAGAUGAGCAACCACCGAGACCCGAGUCGGAUGUGCUCCAAAGACAUGCCCCACGUGAGGUGGCGGACACGGUGAAUUACAUCGCGAACUGCGGUCUCGCGGUGGAUUGGCAGUUCGGCAAGGAGCCGCACUCAUGCACCAACCCCCCGCCUGCGAUAAGUUAUCUCUCUUUUUCUUCUGUCUUCUUUUGUAGCCGAAUCCGACUUCUGAUCUUUUGGUUUUUUCUCGAGCCAGAACCCCCUUAUCCAGCCCUCAGCCGGCACCACGGGCCCGACCCGUCAGUUCGUCUCCGACCGGGCGGCGAGCAACGUCGACGACCCUGACUUGGGGGUGGCGGCGAUGGAGGCCGACGCCAAAGGAGGCGGAGGAGGAGGAGGAGGCUUCAGGCCGUCGGCCACCUUUGCCGACUGGCCUGAUGACGAUGCCGAGGGGAAAGUCAUCCCGCGCCGCCAGCCAAGAGUUGGCCAGCCGAGCACGGGUUCCUCAGCCGGCAUGGAUGGUCAAGGCGGCGCGAAGCGGCGCCGCGCCGGGCCGAGUUUUCUCGGCGGCCGGUCGAAGAAGUUUAAGGGGGCGGCCGCCGCGACCAAGCGGGAAGAGGCGAUCGCGAAGGCCAACCACUUCCGCAAGGAAGUGAAGAAGCCGCCGCUGGUCUCCGCGUAAGUGCUUCCAUCUUGUCUUGUCUUCUACUAGUGAAUUUGUCCAAAUCUUUUACACGCCCUUAUUGCUUCAGGGCUCCCCUCACCUUUGAGAGGGUCGCUGCCGCCUCCGUCAUGGGGUCGGCAGAGACGUCUGCCACUACUCGGCGGAUUGACCCCGCCGCCGACCUCCGGGAGGCGACAGAGCGGAACGCGCAGGAGAAGCGCGACAAGGACGAAGCCGCCCGCCUGGAGAAGGCGGAGGCCGAGAAGGCGGCAGCCUCCGCUCAGAGGAAGCUGGAUGAGGCCGAAGCCGCCGUUGCGGCAAGGCGGCAAGCAGAGGACGCCGUGCGCCGUCAAUCGGCGCUGCUUGUCGUUCCGCUGAACUCCGUGCCGCCGCCCCCGGAGUUCACGGGGCAGACUAGGGAAGCCGGCGGCGAGCACCCCAUCAUGGAGAAGGAAAGCGGCGAGGCCUCCAUGUCGGACACGGCCGUGCCACCACCGCCGCCUCCGCUGCCGUCUGGGAGCGUGCGAGGUAAAUAGCCGGCAGGCCCGCCAGUUCCGCCGACUGCGGACGAGUCUAAGGCGAGGCUGCUCCUCCAAGUCGCCUCGCCAGCGCGCCACCGCCUCGAGAAGGCGACUUCGGCGCCACGCCCGUUGGAGACCGGUGCCGCCAGCUCAGCCAUCCCAGACGCUGAGGCAACGAGUGUCGCGCCCAUUGGGUGGGUGCGAGGAGGCGGCACGGGUCCGUUGAACCAGGCGCUUCUGGAUGUUCAGGCGAAACUGCAAGCCGAGGUUGACGCCAUCUAGAACUGCACCAAGGCGCAUCUGGCGUCGCGAACAGCCGUCCGGGUAUGCUUUAUUUUGACUUUGUUUUUCCUUGCUUUCCUCUGUGGGGGCGCGCCAGCGCACCCACUGGGUGUAGUCCCCGAGUUUCGGGACGGCUGCUGAGCAGGCGGCUCGGAACUCCAUCUAGUGAGUUCCAAAUAUUUAUCUUUGUCUAAAAUUCUUAUUUCAGGAGUAUCACAACCUCCACGCCAUUGCCUUCAACCGCAAUGUCGAGGAGCUGGGCAGGCGGACUGCCGACUUGACGGAGAGCCGGAGUGAGUUCUUCUUCUUCGCGGGGGCGCGCUGGCGCACCCGCGAGCUGUAGUCCCCGAGAUUUGGGCCGACUGCUGAGCAGUCGGGCCGGAUCUUCCCGGCGACCUUCUUUGCUGAUGACUUAACGUCUCUUUCUUUUGUUCUUCAGGGGCCAACGCACUCUUCAGCAGCAGCUGGGCGAAGCCAACACCGCCUUGCGCUUCAAGGGGGAGGAGUGCAGCAAGCUUGCCGUGGAGCGCGACCUGCUGGCUGCACAGCUGGUCGAGCAGAGGGAGCUGCUCAAGAAGGCGCAGGACGAGGCCGCGAAGAGAGAGGCUACUCUCCUGGCCGAGUUCGAAAGCAAGCGCUCCUCCUGGACCGACAAGGAGGCACAUCCGACCUCCAGCUUCCAUGAGAUCGAGGACAUCGUUGACGGUGAGUUUCUUUUCUUCCUUUCUUUCUUUGAGCUUCCGACUAUGGGUCGGGCUAACUUCUGAUUUUUUGACUUGCUUCUUUUUUGUCUUGGCAGACUUCUUCCCUGGCCACUUGCAGGCAGUCACACAGGCCAUCGAAGCUGAUCGCCAGGCGCGGAGGGCGAAUGGUGAGGAGAUCGCCGCCAACGCCCCCCGAACCCUCGAUGAGCAGCUAAUGAGCAUCGAGGCCCGUCUUCGGCCGGCCCAUCGGUUGAUGGGCCGGCUUCAGUGUGUCGGCGCCCAGGCGGUUGCCGUUCUAUGGCCAGACAUACCGGUUCUGCGCACUGCCAGUCGGACUGCCGACUGGCUGGAGGUCGCAGCUGGCCGUCUUGAGGCUUGGAAGGGUUCCUCGGCCCGGGCUGGAGCGCGCCGGGCCUUGGAAUUUGUCAAGGCGUGGUAUCCAGGGCUGGACCUAGACCGACUGGCCGCGUUCCGGUCAGAGGCCCAGGUGGAGCUGGUAGCUGUGGAAGACGCCCUCGUCGCUCGUGCCGCGGCGAUCGCCGACUAUGCCGACACCAACAUCUUCGUCCCUGAUUGGGGUGAAGACGGCAGGGAGGUGCCGCCGGAGUGGUUCGGGAUGAACCCGGACUACGACGAGGACUCUGCUGUAUUUAUUAUUGCAACUUUUAUUUAUAAGUUGUAACUUAUGCGUGGUACCCCGAGUUUGCAUGGCGAGUAAAUUAUUUAGUUUCUAUUAAUGUGAGUAGUUCUGUUGCGGUUUGACUCUAUUAUAUUACUAUUGUUCUCUAGCGAAAAAUCCUGGAGUGAGAUUUUUUUUCCCUGAGUUGCUGCAUCGUAUAUCUUAUCACGACGUGGAUCAUUUUAUUUCACACAACACCAUGGCAGCAGACUCACAACCGCUCGAACUCAUUCACUGCUUGCAAAAACACGUAACCGUGGGGUAUUUGUUUUUUUUUCAAAACCGCUCUUAGCAAAUCUCGAGGACGAGAUUUUUUCUUAAGGGGGGUAGUGUUGUGACACCCCAAAAUUUUAAUCUUGUUUUACUAAUUAAAAUUUUUCCUAGAAACUAAAACUUUUAUUUUCUAUAUUUUCCUUCUGAUUUUAGGACCACUCUUUUCUUUAUUAUUAUGGAGUUUUACCCCCUAGUGAAAUCAUUUCAAUCAUUGUUGGACUUAAUUUUUUUCCCUCUCAAAUAAAACAAUUCUUUAUCAGUGGGAUUAUUUGCAUAAUUAUUUUCCCUGAUGCCUUAUUUCUGUAAAAAUGAUUUUUCUAAGCUUCAAGGCCUCUUUUACACUGCAACCCUUUGAUAAAUUCAGUUAAAAAUUCCACCAACAAUUGGAGAUGUCAUGUGAUGUUUUUAAAACAAUUUUAUGCAAAAAUAUAUUUCAUUCCUUGGAUAUUUUGAGUUCUACACAUGAUUUUCAAAUCUGGUCCAGUGGGCAGUUUUACACUACAACCUAUUUAAAUAUUUCUUUAAAACUUCCACCAAAAUUUUGGGAUGUCUAUAUGAGUAUGUUAAUUAUCUUUUUGCAAAAACCCAAUGAUGUCCUUUGAAAAAUUUGAGUGAAUCAACAUAUUUUCCAUUCUGGUCCAACUUGAUGAUUUGUACAACAACUAUAUUUUAAGUUGCUCCUUUAUCCAUGAUUUCUUUUCCUACUUGUAGUCCUCCCUGCUAAAUCCUUAAGUCCAGAAGAGUGGACCCAUUGGAGGAUGUUUAGUGCAUGCAACCAUGCCCUCUUCUUUCUGUCCAAAACUGAUGUUUUGCAAAACUUGCACUAGCAAGUUUGUGCUUUGGACAAACUAACCUCACCACCCUCUCUUUUAGCUAAAGAGACCCCACUCUGGAAGUUUUGGCCACCCCAAGAGAUGCCUAGGUGCAUGUGGCAUUCUGUCGAGCACCCUGUAGGCAUGACCAGUUUUGACAUGAGUCUUAGCUUGCACUGUGAUCUUGCUUCCCUUGCCUAGCUACCUUGUCCAAUAGACUCCUAGCUACCCAUAACCUAGGUCUGCUAAUUCCCAGCCUCACCCGAGACCUCUAACACGCCUUGACAUUUUGUCGAGCACGUCCCGUGCAUGCUCUGGGCGCGAGCAGAGCGCGCGUUUUGCACGUGCCGCGACCGAGCCGCCACGUCGCGCCCCUGGUUUUGCCCACGCCACAGCGCCGCGCCAUGCACUCCCCUUCUCACCAGAACGCGCCAAGCAGCCUUGGUGCCCUGCAGCACCGCCGUCAGAGCCCUUGGCGGCACGCCGGCGUCCGCAGCACGCGUCUGCCAGGUCGGUGUCGCCCAGGCCUAUCCCGCUCGCCACCUGCCCCUGGAACAACUCAUCCUCAUCCUCUCGAGUGUCCUCUAGCUCUCGUCGUCGCCACGACGCCCUGGCGCUACAGGGAGGUGGUUCACCGACGAACUUAUCCGGUCGCCGCUAACCGACCUCGUUGCGGUAUAUAAGGAGGCCCCGAACCCAUUCGAGCAGGGAGGCAACCUCAGGCCACCUUCACGGCACCCCCACAGCCUGCAAUCGUCGGAGGGAGGCCUUCUUCCCCAUCUCCGGCAACCACAGCCGCCGCCACUGCCCCGCCCAUUCCGGCACCACUAGAGCCUCCCCCUCUCCACUCUCUUCACCAGAAACUCCCUCUCCCCCUCGUGAAUCCACCCCCCUGCUCGAUUUUGAUCGAGACUCAUUGCGGGAGAAAAAUCACUUUGCCCGACGACCACUGUCCGCCGCGAAGCUCACCGCCGGCAGCUCCGUCCACCCCAGAGACCAUAUCAACCACCGGAGUGACCAUCUUGAUCCCCUGAGCACGUGGAUGGCCUCCGUUCUCCGAACGGUGCCGUCAUUCGCCGGCGAGCCUCGCCGGAGCUCCACCUCUGUUUCGGCCGGAGGAGGCGACGCGCGCGUGGACUGGUCAAACCUAACCAGUGGGCCAGGCGGUCCACUGUCAGCAACCCAGUGCCGAUCCACGCGGGCAUAAGUGGAAACAUAUUUUUAGAAUACGCCUUCGACGUGGUCAGUCCGAAUCAUUUUUCUUUUUUUGUUUUAUUUUCUUUUUAAAAACAGAUUUUGACCACAACUUUGACUACCUGUAACUUUUUAAUGACAACUCCAAAUGAAUUGAUUCUUUUCCCUACCUCUCUCAAAUUUAAUCUAGUUUAUUUUAAGAUUUAUUUGAAAAAAUUUCAAAACAAAUUUUUGUGCUGUUUUUGAAUUUGUGUGUUAAUUCAAAUUUAUUUAAAAUAGGACUUUGGAGAGAGAGAAGAAAACUUUCAAAAGUUUUGGAGUGCACGCUGCCUUUCCACACAAUGAAGGCAAGCAUUCUGAACCCUGGCAUAGUAUUUUUUGCAUGCAUUGUUUGACACGAUCAUGACACCACCUCAAUACAUGGAACUCGUUAUUUUAUGUGGUCAUGUGAUCGUCUGCAUGAAUGUUUAUUGAAAAUGUCCUUGCUGUUGGAAAUGGAUAUGCUUGUAAUGAUGAUCAUCCUCAUAUGCCUUUCGUGCCUACCGGAAGGAAAACGGGAAAGUCUCUGUCUUGGGUAGACCCGAGCUUAUCCCAAGUUCCUCGUCGAGACGAGUGUGUCCGGCAUGGCAUGAGGGGUAUGAUGAGUGGUGAUUCUAUCUGUUGGAUGAAAUACAUUCAUUAUGCUAAUCAUGCAGGGAAAUUAUAAACCUCCUGAGUCGACCAUAGAUCGAGUCUUGUUCCAGUAACCCCCACACUUGUUUCGUGCUACCACUUGUCCCUACCACAGGCAGGGUACGGUUCAGUAAAUUGUCAACCCCUUUCUAGCACACACCAUACAGAGGGGCCGGGAUGAGGGUACCAAGGCCAUGGAUUAAAGCCAGUCAUCCGGUCAGGGGGCAUAGGUGUUUCGGUUGUAGCCGAGGGGGUAGCUUCCCCAGUUUUGCGCGCGGUAUAAAUUUUAUGAUCCCAUGCUACUCGAGGUUGUAGCCUCCCCACUUAGAGUUUUGCUUAACGAGUGUCGUGGGUGAUUCCAGACACCGGUAAGUUAAGCUGGUGUGUGCAAGUCAGGUACGUUUUCAAUUAAAAGACCGUAGACGGAAUUAGUCCCGAUGGACUAAAGGAAUCCGUUGCUCGCGAGUAAAGAGUGCACCCUCUGUAGAGAUUAAACCUAUUCGAAUAGCCGCGUCCAUGGUUAAGGACUACAGUCUGGGUGGGUCAAGUGUCGGUCUUCGGAGGAGAACUACUAAACCAGAACCCGGAUCAUGACUGAUGACUUGUGAUAAAUAUGUUUACGUUUAUUGCGGACUAACCCAUUCUAUUAUCUGAAUUAUUGGGUAUCCCUGGGACGGUUCUACCACCUGGAGACUCAUUGUGAUUAUUUAUUUAUAAGCCCUUUAUGUGGUGUCGCUGAGACGCCCGACAGUGGCAUUGCUUGUCAUUUAUUUAUAAGCCCUUUAUAUGGUGUCGCUGAGACGCCCGACUGUGGCAUUGCUUGUCUUUUAUUUAAAAGCCCUUUAUGUGGUGUCGCUGAGACGCCCGACUGUGGCAUGCUUGUUAUUCAUUUACUUUAUAAGCCCUUUAUAUGGUGUCGCUGAGACGCCCGACUGUGGCAUGCUUGUUAUUUAUUUACUUUAUAAGCCCUUUAUGUCGUGUCGCUGAGACGCCCGACUGUGGCAUGCUUGUUAUUUAUUUACUUUAUAAGACCUUUAUGUGGUGUCGCUAAGACGCCCGACUGUGGCAUGCUUGUUAUUUAUUUACUUUAUAAGCCCUUUAUGUGGUGUCGCACAGACGCCCGACUGCGGCAUUUUAUUUCCACUCCAUUAUUGCUCAUUCAUGUUAUAUUUAAAUAACCGGUUUGCAUGCAUAAAAGAUCUUUAUUUAUGACUGACGAUGUGAUUAUAGAACAUUUCAGUGCAUGAUUAUCAUUUAUAUUAUACCCGUGUUCAUAAUGUUUGCGAGUACAUUCAAAGUACUCACUGGCUUGUCCCUGGCUAUUGUCUUGGCCAGAUUUCUUGCACGGAGAGGAGCGACGUGAUGACAGCCCCGGAACCUAAGCAAUGGUGAUAGCAGCCUCGUGAAGAUAGGAGUUAUCCUGGUCAGCUGUUCCUGUGGGAAAUGGAGUCCCAUAGACGUUGAUGAUUUUAGACCGCUUCCGCCAUCAACCACUAGAACCAUUUGUUGUACUCACAGGCCAAAAUGGUCUUGUACUACAUAUGUUGUAUUUUGCUUGGAAUUUCUGUAUCAAGUUGGUGCCUCAUUAGCUAACAGUAAUCCUGGGGCUGGUGAGCAAAACGGCCAUUUUCUGGAAAUUAAUACCCAGAAAACUGGUCGCCACAAACUUGGUAUCAGAGCCAGGCUAACCAUUGGCUAAUCCUAUCUUAGCCAGGUCGAAAAACUUAGGCAAACCAACCCACCAGACCUUAACCAAACCCCAGCCAAGCUUCUCGUUCAAGAUAGCCACACAGUGACCCCGACACUUUUGGCAGUCGGUGCCCAACCUAUGAACCUAGCCUUUCUAUCACGCACCAGUGACCAGCACCCAAGAUGUCUCAUUCGAAAGCGUGCGAAGGAAGACUCCGUCCCCUUUUCCUAUAAAAAGGGCACGCUAGCCCCAACCCAGCGCAGCACAGCCUCUACCCCAAACCGAGCCACAAUGCCUGGCCCCGUCGUGCACAAUGAGACCACAACAACCAACCUUGGAGGCUUUGUGACCAUACUCGCAAACCUCACCCGUCGUGCCUAUGCGUUAGAAGAGCCUCCAGAAUAUGUGGUGUACCAAGGACCCAUGAGCGGUGAGAGCCGUCAAUUCUGGGCCACUGUACACGUCUACGGUUGGGGUCUAGCGCCCGAGCGCCCCUACAUGGUUCACCGGAAGGACAACUUCCUUUGAGCCACAAGCCGUCCAACUAGCUGCUCGAGAGGCUAUAGUUCAUCUCCGGUACUUGUCGCCCAGAAUUAACUGUCGCUCGUUCUACUACUAUCCCAGACGUGAAGGGUAUGGUAGACCACCCCAAGUUGCCAACGGAGAUCAUGAGACGGAUCCUGCAUUGUUGCACCUAGUGUGCUAUGUAGGUGCAUUAGAGGAACUGUUCAAUCAAAUCACCAUUGAUUUGAUCGCAACUCGUGGAGAGCUGGUUCGCCAAGCCCUGGCAAGCAGGGAAGGAGAGCUGGUUCGCCACGCCACCGGACCGCGCCUAGGCGGCUAGGCCCAGUUGGAGCCGGCGAGCAGCCCACAACACGAUCCAUCUCACGCUGGUAGGCUUCUGACAAGUGUCUCAUGCUUUCCAGCUUCUUCGUGCCCUCGACGAGCUGAAGGCGGCGCACCUCCAGCGUCCCGGCGUCAGCGUCUCCCGAAAUGGGCGUGGUCAGGUCUUGCAGGGCCGCGUCGAGUGGAUCAUGAGCUCCUUCGCCGGAAUGCUCGCCGUGAUCGAGGAUGAGGACCUCCGUGACAGUGCUUCCGCUGCUCACUGUGCGAGGGAGCGGCUCGUCGUAGACCACCACAUUAGUGGGGAACGCGUCGAGCAACGCGGUGUCGGAGUCGACCAGCAUCGGGUCAGUGGAUCCUAUGGACUCCAGGUCCACGGCAGGCUCGCCGGCAACAUGGAGUUGGUCGAGGAGACCCAAGAGGAGGCUCUCGGGGCCGUUCGUGCCUGCGUCGGAUGCAGGAUCAUUGGAGAGGCGAACCUCGCCAAUGAGUUUGGCGAGGCAGCUGGCCGCGCAGGCGAUCUCAGCACCAUGCAGCAUGUCGGCGCGGACUCCGUCUGGCGUGCCGGGCUGGCUGUGCUCGCCAGGGAGGAAAAGGGUUCCCGUCUAGAGCAGGUCUCCGGACGACGGUGCACCUCGCCCCACGGUGGGUGCCAAAUGUCGGGGGUUGGGUGCGACAUAUGCCAAGGGAUGGCUUAUCAUGGUGGGAGCGAGUAGAACGUCGCCGGUGCCUGGAAGCGGGAUGAGGCGAAGGCAUGCAUGCCGGCGGAUCUUACCCAGCUUCAGGGCUCUCCGAGGAGAUAACACACCUACUGCUGCUCUGCGGGGUCUCCGCAUGAUCACUAUGGCAAAGUGAACACAAGGGUGCUCCUAGAGCUGUUUCUGGAGGUAGGAGAGGGCAAGACUAGCUCCCUCCUUCCUUUAUGAUCGGGUCUAAUGCUAAAGAAGCCCCCUCCCCCUUGCAUGGGUGUCCCGGGGGCUUAUAUAGGCCUGCCCCCAGGGAUACAAUGGUAAUCAGGCUGGGCGCGGGUCCCAGCUAUCUGUCUCUCAGGCCGCCGUCUUCUCCGCCGAUUGCUGGGGCCCGCUGACUGGCGGGCCCCGCCGACAGGCCUGGUACUGUAGCAGUGCUUCUGAUGACGCUGGCUUGGUCAUGGGGUCAUGGCAACAGUGUCGCCGUCUGGCGGACGAUCACUGUCGCCAUUCCUCGUCUUGUCUGGUUAAUGGCGUGCGGGGCCCGUGGGAGGGGCCGGCCGACUCCAGGGGGCCGACUCCCACGGGUCCGUCUUCGGGGUGUUCUCGCCGUCUUCUGUGCUCCCGCUGACGGGCGGGUCCCGCCGUCUCUGGGUCGUACAGGUAGGCCGUUGUGGGCACAGUGCGCUGCCCACUGAGGCUGAGGUCAGGGCAGGCAUGGCAACAGUGUCGCGCCACGAUGGAGAUCUCCAGCGAUACGGCGCACUGUAGCGAUGCCAGCCCCUCGUAAGCAGGGUAGAGACGGCCACGCUGUGACCGUACCCCUCCCCGUCCAUCAUGGCGAAGGCAGGAGAUGGUUGGAGUCGCGGGUCGACUCCCCUCAGCCGGCUUCUCUGGAAGUCAUCAGCUAAGAGUCGGCUUCCCUGGAAGUCGUCAACUAAGAGUCGGCUUAUCUCAAGGUUGUCCUUGGGACGCGGCCGUGAGGGAUAGUCGGCGGCCUUGCCGCUGACUCUUAGAAGGCGGCUCCUUAUCGCAGAGUCUUGAGGGGCGCAGUCUGCCCCGAUGCUUUGAAAGGUUCUGGGGCUCGGGUUGGCCUACCCGUGGCCCAUUACUCCGACAUCGAUCUUCUUGGAGAUCUAUUCUAUGUAACUCUUUUUGCGGUGUGCUUGUCGAGAUCCGAUGAAUUGUGGGUUUAUGAUCAAGUUUAUCUAUGAGAAAUAUUUGAAUCUCCUCUGAAUUCUUUUAUGUAUGAUUGGUUAUCUUUGCAAGUCUCUUCGAAUGAUCAGUUUGGUUUGGCCUACUAGAUUGAUCUUUCUUCCAAUGGGAGAAGUGCUUAGCUUUGGGUUCAAUCUUGCGGUGUCCUUUCCCAGUGACAACAGGGGCAGCAAGGCACAUAUUGUAUUGUUGCCAUCGAGGAUAAAAAGAUGGGGUUUAUAUCAUAUUGCAUGAGUUUAUCCCACUACAUCAUGUCAUCUUUCUUAAUGAGUUACUCUAUUCUUCAUGAACUUAAUACUCUGGAUGCAGGCAGGAGUCGGUAAAUGUGUGGAGUAAUAGUAGUAGAUGUAGAAUCGUUUCGAUCUACUUGUCACGGACGUGAUGCCUAUAUACAUGAUCAUGCCUAGAUAUUCUCAUAACUAUGCAGUUUUCUUUCAAUUGCUCGACAAUAAUUUGUUCACCCACCGUAAUACUUUUGCUAUCUUGAGAGAAGCAACUAGUGAAACCUAUGGCCGCCGGGUCUAUCCUUUAUCAUAUAAGUUUCCCAUCUAAUUUUAUUUGCAUCUUUACUUUCCAAUCUAUAGCAUAAAAAUACCAAAAAUAUUUAUCUUAUCUUAUUAUCUCUAUCAGGUCUCACUUUCGUGAAGGGAUUGACAACCCCUUUAUUGCAUUGGUUGCAAGGUUCUUGUUUGUUUGUGUAGGUACAAGGGACUUUUGAGGAUCCUCCUACUGGAUUGAUACCUUGGUUGUCAAAAACUGAGUCAAAUACUUACGCUACUUUGCUGCAUCACCCUUUCCUCUUCAAGGGAAAACCAACGCAGUGCUCAAGAGGUAGCAAGAAGGACUUCUGGCACCGUUGCCGGGGAGGUCUUCGCUCAAGUCAAGACAUACCAAGUACCCAUCACAAACCCAUCUCCCUCGCAUUACAUUAUUUUCCAUUUGCCUCUCGUUUUCCUCUCCUCCACUUCACCCUUGCCGUAUUCUUUGCCCCUCUUCCAUUCGAUCUUUUGUUUGCUUGUGUAUCCAUGUGCCUUCUAUGUGCUUGCACCUUUGCUUGCUAAAAAUCUAUCGGUAUGGAUCCAAUUAAAGUGUUCUACUUGGAUAAUCUUCGAUCCUUAUGUGCUCGUGCUAAAACACCAACUAGCCUAGUUGAUGGGAAAUCUUUAGAUGAGCAUGCUCAUUUUGUGCGUCACCAUUUGUCUGGAAAAGGGAGACUCUUAUGGGAUCAAAUAAACAGAUUGUUGUGUUAUGUUUGGAAUCUUUGUGAAAUUUAUGAUUUUACUUGUUGCUCUAAGAACCCUAAAGAAACACCUCCCCUACCUAUGUGAGUUUAAUUAAAAUGAAAUCUUAUCUUCUUAUGCAAAGGGUGUUUAUAGUUACUAUGAUAUCAAACAAACUGAAGAAUUUGUUUCUUUUAAGGGUGCUUAUGAAGUUGCUUCUUUGAUUGAAAAGUAUGAUAUUACUCUCUACGAAUCUGAAAAUUUUGACAUACUUAAAUAUUGCUAUGAAAACUAUGCUCAUAAUAUCUAUAUCAAACAAUUUAUUGAGAGAAUGACUGUUGCUUUGGAAGAAAAUAAUGAUAUGCAUGAGUCUAUAGAUAAUGAUUCCGCUGAUUUGAUUGAAACAUCCCUUGAGGAAGAUGAUGCUUGCUAUUCUUGUGGCCAUGAUGCCAAUAUUUAUGAAGAUGAAUUUGCUAUAGUUCCCUAUGUUAAACAUGAGAUCGUUGCUAUUGCACCCAUACUUGGUAGUUCCUUCAAUGAAAAGUAUGAUUGCAAUGAUGUUACUAUAAAUUCUCUUGAUGUCAAUUGUGCUAAUAAUAUGCAAAAACCUAAGCUUGGGGAUGCUAGUUUUGCUAUGUCUACUACUUGUUGCAAUGAUCAUGAUUGGGGUGAUUCUUCUUUUGAUCUUGAAAAUUUAUUUAACCCCCAUGAUGAAUAUGAGAUUGAUAAUAGUGUUUGCAAUAUUAUUGAAAGUGGGUUUGGAAGAGUGUCAACUUUAGAUCCCACAUAUUUGGAUUUUGAUCAAUCUUAUGAAAAUUUUGAUAAAAGUGGGCUUGGAGAGGUCAUGACUUUAGUUAAUGUUAAUCCCACUAUCUUGGAAGAGUGUCAACUUUGCAUGCAUGUGGAUUGUGUUGAGAAUAUGUUAUGUGAUAGCUAUUUUCUUAAUUUGCUUAUGAUCCUACAUGUCAUUAUUAUGAGAGAGGAAAAUUUGGUUGUAGAAAUUUUCAUGUUACUAAAUUACCUCUCUUCAUGUUGAGAUUGCUAUCGUCUCUUUCUUUUUCCUUGCAUAUGCUAGUUUUUGCUUGCUUUGAUAAUUUGUUUGCUUAUAAAAUGCCUAUACAUAGGAAGUAUGUUAGACUUAGACGUGUUUGUCACGUGUUUCAUGAUGCUCUCUUUGCGCUUCAAUUCUUGUUUUUCAUGUGAGCAUCAUUGAAUUUAUCAAUGCCUAGCUAGGGGCGUUAAACGAUAGCGCUUGUUGGGAGGCAACCCAAUUUGAUUUUUGUUCCUUGCUUUUUUAUUCUGUUUAGUAAUAAAUAAUUCAUAUAGCCUCUGCUUAGAUGUGGUUUUAUGUUUUAGUUAGUGUUUGUGCCAAGUAGAACCUAUAGGAUCAUCUUGGGUGAUAGUUAAUUUGAUUCUGCUGAAAAACAGAAACUUUUGCACGCACGAGAAUAAUUUUAAUAAAUCACAGAAACGUGAUUUUUAGUUGAUUGUUUUUUCAGUAGAUCAAUAGACAAAUUGCCUAGGACUUACUAUUUUGGUAGGAUUUUUAGAGUUCCAUAAGUACUCUAAAGUUACAGAUUGCUACAGACUGUUCUAUUUUUGAUAGAUUCUGUUUUUCGUGUGUUGUUUGCUUAUUUUGAUGCAUCUAUGGCUAGUAUCGGGGGGUAUGAACCAUAGAGAAGUUGUAAUACAGUAGGUUUAACACCAAUAUAAAUAAAGAAUGAGUUCAUUACAGUACCUUAUGUGCUGGUUUUUCUUUCUAGCACUAACGGAGCUCAUGAGAUUUCCUGUUGAGUUUUGUGUUGUGAGGUUUUCAAGUUUUGGGUAAAGAUUUGAUGGACUAUGGAAUAAGGAGUGGAAAGAGCCUAAGCUUGGAAUGCCCAUGGCACCCCAAGAUAAUCCAAGGACAACCAAAAGCCUAAGCUCGAGGAUGCCCCGGAAGGCAUCCCCUCUUUUGUCUUCGUCUAUCAGUAACUUUACUUGGAGCUAUAUUUUUAUUCACCAAGUGAUAUGUGUUUUACUUGGAGCGUCUUGUAUGAUAUGAGUAUUUGCUUUUUAGUUUACCACAAUCAUCCUUGCUGUACACACCUUUUGGGAGAGACACACAUGAUUUAGAAUUUAUUAGAAUACUCUAUGUGCUUCACUUAUAUCUUUUGAGCUAGAUAAUUUUGCUCUAGUGCUUCACUUAUAUCUUUUUAGAGCACGGCGAUGGCUUAAUUUUGUAGAAAUUAUUAAUCUAUCAUGCUUCACUUAUAUUAUUUUGAGAGUAUUUUAGAACAUCAUGGUAUUUGCUAUGGUUAUAAAAUUGGUCCUAGAAUGAUGGGCAUCCAAGUUGGGUAUAAUAAAAACUAUCAUAGGAAGUGAAUUGGAUGCUAUGAUCAAUUUGAUGCUUGAUAAUUGUUUUGAGAUAUGAUGAUGGUAAUAUUAGAGUCAUGCUAGUUGGGUAAUUGUGAAUUUAAGGAAUACUUGUGUUGAAUUUUGUGAUUCCCGUAGCAUGCACGUAUGGUGAACCGUUAUGUGAUGAAGUUGGAGCAUGAUUUAUUUAUUGAUUGUCUUCCUUAUGAGUGGCGGUCGGGGACGAGCGAUGGUCUUUUCCUACCAAUCUAUCCCCCUAGGAGCAUGCACAUAAUACUUUGUUUUGAUGACUUGUAGAUUUUUGCAAUAAGUAUAUGAGUUCUUUAUGACUAAUGUUGAGUCCAUGGAUAAUACGCACUCUCACCCUUCCACCAUUGCUAGCCUCUCUUGUGCCGCGCAACUUUCGCCGGUACCAUACACCCACCAUAUACCUUCCUCAAAACAUUCACCAUACCUACCUAUUAUGGCAUUUCCAUAGCCAUUCUGAGAUAUAUUGCCAUGCAACUUUCCACCAUUCCAUUUACUAUGACAUGCUCCAUCAUUGUCAUAUUGCCUUUUGCAUGAUCAUGUAGUUGACACCAUAUUUGUGGCAAGGCCACCUUCAUAAUUUUUCAUACAUGUCACUCUUGAUUCAUUGCAUAUCCCGGUACACCGCCAGAGGCAUUCAUAUGGAGUCAUAUUUUGUUCCAAGUAUUGAGUUGUAAAUCAAUAAAAGUGUGUUGAUCUUCACUAUUAGAGCAUUGUCCCAAGUGAGGAAAGGAUGGUGGAGACUAUGAUUCCCCCAUAAGUCGGGAUGAGACUUCGGACUUUACAAAAAAGAAAAGAGGCCAAAGAAGCCCAAAUAAAAAAAAGAGGCCAAAGAAGCCCACCAAAAUAAAAAAAAAUAAAAAAUGAGGGGAAAAGAGAGAAGGGACAAUGUUACUAUCCUUUUUCCACACUUGUGCUUCAAAGUAGCACCAUGAUCUUCAUGAUAGAGAGUCUCCUAUGUUGUCACUUUCAUAUACUAGUGGGAAUUUUUCAUUAAAGAACUUGGCUUGUAUAUUCCAAUGACGGGCUUCCUAAAAAUGCCCUAGGUCUUCGUGAGCAAGCAAGUUGGAUGCACACCCACUUAGUUUCUUUUGUUGAGCUUUCAUACAUUUAUAGCUCUAGUGCAUCCAUUCCAUGGCAAUCCCUACUCACUCACAUUGAUAUAUAUUAAUGGGCAUCUCCAUAUCCCGUUGAUACGCCUAGUUGAUGUGACACUAUCUUCUCCCUUUUUGUCUUCUCCACAACCACCACUCUAUUCCACAUAUAGUGCUAUUUCCAUGGCUCACGCUCAUGUAUUGCGUGAAGAUUGAAAAAGUUUGAAAAUACUAAAGUAUGAAACAAUUGCUUGGCUUGUCAUCGGGGUUGUGCAUGAUUUAAUACUUUGUGUGAUGAAGAUAGAGCAUAACCAGACUAUAUGAUUUUGUAGGGAUAACUUUCUUUAGCCAUGUUAUUUUGAGAAGACAUGAUUGCUUAGUUAGUAUGCUUGAAGUAUUAUUGUUUUUAUGUCAAUAUGAACUUUCGUCUUGAAUUAUUUUGAUCUGAACAUUCAUGCCACAAUAAAGAAAAUUACAUUGAAUUAUGCUAGGUAGCAUUCCACAUCAAAAAUUCUAUUUUUAUCAUUUACCUACUCGAGGACGAGCAGGAAUUAAGCUUGGGGAUGCUUGAUACGUCUCCAAGGUAUCUAUAAUUUUUGAUUGUUCCAUGCUACUAUAUUACCCGUUUUGGAUGUUUAUGGGCUUUACUUUACACUUUUAUAUCAAUUUUGGGACUAACCUACUAACCGGAGGCCCAGCCUGUAUUGCUGUUUUUUUGCCUAUUUCAGUGUUUUGAAGAAAAGGAAUAUCAAACGGAGUCCAAACGGAAUGAAACCUUCGGGAGCAAUCUUUUUGGAACAAACACAAUCCAGGAGACCUGGAGUGGAUGUCAAGAAGCAGCCGAGGCGGCCACGAGGCAGGAGGGCACGCCCUAGGGGGUACGCGCGCCCCUACCCUCGUGGGCCCCUCGUGGCUCCCCUGACCUUCCUCCUUUGCCUAUAUAUACCUUCAUACCCUGAAAACAUCCAGGAGCACCCCGAAAAACUAUUUCCACCGCCACAACCUUCUGUAUCCGCGAGAUCCCAUUUUGGAGCCAUCGCCGGUGCUCCACCGGAGGGGGAAUCGACCAUGGAGGGCCUCUACAUCAUCUCCAAGGCCUCUCCGAUGAGUCGUGAGUAGUUUACCACAGACCUUCGGGGUCCAUAGUUAUUAGCUAGAUGGCUUCUUCUCUCUCUUUGAAUCUCAAUACAAAGUUCUUCUCGAUCUUCUUGGAGAUCUAUUCAAUGUAAUUUUUGAUUGUUCCAUGCUACUAUAUUACCCGUUUUGGAUGUUUAUGGGCUUUACUUUACACUUUUAUAUCAAUUUUGGGACUAACCUACUAACCGGAGGCCCAGCCUGUAUUGCUGUUUUUUUGCCUAUUUCAGUGUUUUGAAGAAAAGGAAUAUCAAACGGAGUCCAAACGGAAUGAAACCUUCGGGAGCAAUCUUUUUGGAACAAACACAAUCCAGGAGACCUGGAGUGGAUGUCAAGAAGCAGCCGAGGCGGCCACGAGGCAGGAGGGCACGCCCUAGGGGGUACGCGCGCCCCUACCCUCGUGGGCCCCUCGUGGCUCCCCUGACCUUCCUCCUUUGCCUAUAUAUACCUUCAUACCCUGAAAACAUCCAGGAGCACCCCGAAAAACUAUUUCCACCGCCACAACCUUCUGUAUCCGCGAGAUCCCAUUUUGGAGCCAUCGCCGGUGCUCCACCGGAGGGGGAAUCGACCAUGGAGGGCCUCUACAUCAUCUCCAAGGCCUCUCCGAUGAGUCGUGAGUAGUUUACCACAGACCUUCGGGGUCCAUAGUUAUUAGCUAGAUGGCUUCUUCUCUCUCUUUGAAUCUCAAUACAAAGUUCUUCUCGAUCUUCUUGGAGAUCUAUUCAAUGUAACUCUUUUUGUGGUGUGUUUGUCGAGAUUCGAUGAAUUGUGGGUUUAUGAUCAAGGUUAUCUAUGAGAAAUAUUUGAAUCUCCUUUGAAUUCUUUUAUGUAUGAUUGGUUAUCUUUGCAAGUCUCUUUGAAUUAUCAGUUUGGUUUGGCCUACUAGAUUGAUCUUUCUUGCAAUGGGAGAAGUGCUUAGCUUUGGGUUCAAUCUUGCGGUGUCCUUUCCCACUGACAGCAGGGGCAGCAAGGCAUGUAUUGUAUUUUUGCCAUUAAGGAUAAAAAGAUGGGGUUUAUAUCAUAUUGCAUGGGUUUAUCCCUCUACAUCAUGUCAUCUUUCUUAAUGCGUUACUCUGUUCUUCAUAAACUUAAUACUCUAGAUGCAGGCAGGAGUCGGUCAAUGUGUGGAGUAAUAGUAGUAGAUGUAGAAUCGUUUCGAUCUACUUGUCACUGACGUGAUGCCUAUAUACAUGAUCAUGCCAAGAUAUUCUCAUAACUAUGCACUUUUCUUUUAAUUGCUCGUCAGUAAUUUGUUCACCCACCGUAAUACUUAUGCUAUCUUGAGAGAAGCCACUAGUGAAACCUAUGCCCCCGGUCUAUCCUUUAUCAUAUAAGUUUCCCAUCAACUUUUAUUUGCAUCCUUACUUUCCAAUCUAUGUCAUAAAAAUACCAAAAAUAUUUAUCUUAUCUUAUUAUCUCUAUCAGAUCUCACUUUCGCAAAUUACCGUGAAGGGAUUGACAACCCCUUUAUCGCAUUGGUUGCGAGGUUCUUGUUUGUUUGUGUAGGUACGAGGGACUUUUGAGGAGCCUCCUACUGGAUUGAUACCUUGGUUCUCAAAAACCAAGGGAAAUACUUACGCUACUUUGCUGCAUCACCCUUUCCUCUUCAAGGGAAAACCAACAGAGUGCUCAAGAGGUAGCAGUAGCUGAGGGUGAUAGGUUUGAGAUGGAAAACAUUCAGGAUGAAAGCACCGGCUCACCAUCUCCCAGUUCAUGUGUAUCAUCCUAUAACAACCCCAUCAAGAUGAUGCAUGGGGGGUACCCACGAUGCUAUAUGCAUGUUUUCGUGCGUAGGGAGGACUUCCCUAUGUGCAUCAUUUGCAAGCAACCCACCCUCCUCAACUUGAAAACUAUGCUCGCCAACAUGCAGCAUGCCAGGCGCUAGUAAACAAUAGUAGGGCAAUGAUGUCAUGCUUAGUUAAGUUCCAUUAUUAUUGUGUAUCUGUAUGCAUCAGUGUUGAAUGCUUAUUUCUUGUCAUAAUGCUCAUGUUUUCAUAUGUAAACAUAUUAAUUAAGGAAAUAAUGGAAAUAAUUG